ACGCACGCUGGCGGCGUGCCUAAUACAUGCAAGUCGAGCGGACGAAUCGAAAGCUUGCUUUUGAUUCGUUAGCGGCGGACGGGUGAGUAACACGUGGGCAACCUGCCCUGUAGACGGGGAUAACACCGAGAAAUCGGUGCUAAUACCGGAUAACACGAAAUGUCGCAUGACGUUUCGUUGAAAGACGGCGCAAGCUGUCGCUACAGGAUGGGCCCGCGGCGCAUUAGCUAGUUGGUGAGGUAACGGCUCACCAAGGCGACGAUGCGUAGCCGACCUGAGAGGGUGAUCGGCCACACUGGGACUGAGACACGGCCCAGACUCCUACGGGAGGCAGCAGUAGGGAAUCUUCCGCAAUGGACGAAAGUCUGACGGAGCAACGCCGCGUGAGCGAAGAAGGCCUUCGGGUCGUAAAGCUCUGUUGUUAGGGAAGAACAAGUAACGCAGUAACUGGCGUUACCGUGACGGUACCUAACGAGAAAGCCACGGCUAACUACGUG
This 497-nucleotide ribosomal RNA is filed under the name uncultured bacterium. RNAcentral describes it as "partial 16S ribosomal RNA". It matches the Rfam family "Bacterial small subunit ribosomal RNA", at positions 29 to 507 of the family's 1533-position model. The record is from RNAcentral.